UUACCGACUUCCAAAUCAGAACUUUUCUCAGGAUUCCUUAGCGAAACUAACUUAGAGCGUUUCUAGGGUGAGGAAUUUCUAAUGGGAGUCGAAGGUUUAUAUAGAGAGCUAAGGCAGUUUACUAAGCUACUUCGCCGUUAGGUCCUCCACUAAUCAUGUCUCUUCCGACAACAUGUAUCACUGAGUCACGAUUGUCAACACCAAGCAGCGUCCGUUGAUUAACAACCAGACUGGGAGCAUCGUGAAGUUGACACCCUGACAUGAGUCAUUGCCCUUGUCGACAUUACCCGCAUGCGAGACAUGGUCGUUUCUCUCCCACAUAUUGUCGUAGCAACUUAUGUACCUGCUCGCUGUCGUUAAGCAGGUCGACGAGGUGUCCGAUUGUCGGCCGCACAAUAACCGCACACGCCGGCAUGGGUCGAGCAUAUGUCCACCGCGGUCGGGCACACGCCAUCGUGGG
Arabidopsis thaliana (thale cress) is the source of this 460-nucleotide long non-coding RNA. RefSeq annotates it as other RNA. Lineage: Eukaryota; Viridiplantae; Streptophyta; Magnoliopsida; Brassicales; Brassicaceae. The record is from RefSeq. The transcript has a single exon.